Molecule: non-coding RNA, 22 nt
Filed under: Arabidopsis thaliana (thale cress)
Lineage: Eukaryota; Viridiplantae; Streptophyta; Magnoliopsida; Brassicales; Brassicaceae
Source: RNAcentral
GAGUGGGCGUAGUCCGGUGCGC